Molecule: long non-coding RNA, 535 nt
Organism: Haliotis rubra (blacklip abalone)
Lineage: Eukaryota; Metazoa; Mollusca; Gastropoda; Lepetellida; Haliotidae
Exons: 3
Source: RefSeq, a predicted model, not a curated record
UUCUGAAAAUUCUGUACCAGAACAUGUUUUUGCAGAAGAGUCUAUAAAACUGUCUGUACAAUACAUAUACAUGCAAAAUGUAUACUGAGUAUUCUACAGCAUAAAUAAUUGUAAAACAGUUCAGACAUAUAUAUGUAUAGAUGGACUUAAGACAAUCAAAGUUAUUAUAUAUCCUCUCAAGAUUAACAAGCCAAUAUGGGCCUUAUCAUCUCAAGGCUAACAAGGCUGUAUGGGACUUUUCAUCUCAUGGCUAACAAGGUUAUACCAGACUUAUCAUCUCAGAGACUAACAAGGCUAUAUAGGACUUAUUAUCUCAUGGCUAACAAGGUUAUAUCAACACUUAUCAUCUCAGAGACUAACAAGGCUAUAUAGGACUUAUUAUCUCAUGGCUAACAAGGUAAUAACAGACUUAACAUAUCAUGGCUAACAAGGUUAUACCAGACUUAUCAUCUCAGAGACUAAUAAGGCUAUAUAGGACUUAUUAUCUCAAGACUAACAAGGUUAUACCAGACUUAUCAUCUCAGAGACUAACAAG